This is a long non-coding RNA of Alligator sinensis (Chinese alligator), 1008 nucleotides long. RefSeq lists it as uncharacterized. The record is from RefSeq and is a predicted model, not a curated record. Lineage: Eukaryota; Metazoa; Chordata; Crocodylia; Alligatoridae. The transcript has 4 exons.
AGGAGCAUCCCCUUCCUCUUGCAUGUCCUGAGCAAGUAUUUUCACUGUUGCAGUCCCUACAUUCUUCAAACUGCAGCCUGGGCUCCCUUAGUGCAUGUCCAGAACUACAUGCCUCCUUAAAGAGAAGAAAAUUGAGCUUCCAAGAACUUGAUGUGCAAACUUCACUUUUGCAUCCUACAAAAUUGAAGAUGCUUAAUGGAGCUGCAAGAGAAAGAGUUUAUUCUCUACUGGUGAGGUCUUGCUUGGGAGCACGAUAUCCAGUUUUGAGCACUGCACUUCAAGAAAGACAUGGCCAAAUAAGAAAAAGUCCAGCACAGAGCAACAACAUUUAUUAGAGGCCAGGUGGGAGAGAACAAGAGGUACUUUUCUCAGGAGGACAGUUUCUUCUUUUGAUUUCAGUUUUGAUUGCUCUUCAAACAUGAAGCUUCAGUACCUUCCUUUAGAUGUUUAGGCUGCAAAUGGAAAGCUAUGAAGAUAAAAUCCCAUGAAAGAACGCUGUCUGAUUAGGAAUAAAGAGGGUUUGCUUUAACACUACUUUGUCAUUUUGAACAGUAAAAUGCUCAUACCCUUCCUUAGAAAUUCUCCUUGUGGAAAUAACUGGCAAAAUGACCCGUUUACAUCAGCAACUAAUGAUUAAAGAUAGCCUUGUGCUUGGAGUAUGGACUAGGAUUUAGGAAAGGACUUUCUUUUUGUAUUAGCAAUGAGAAUACAGGAUUGGGACCAGCAUCAUAUUCUGUCUGGGUGUGUCUACACAUGCAAUUAAUGUGACUGAAUAUGCUCCAACUCAAACUGAGCUGGAAUAAACCAAUCCCGACUUCACUGUCUACAUGUGCAUUUAAGUGCAGUAAUUUACUGCACUGCCGGAUACCACUUGUAUCUGAUGGGACUAUCUGGCAAUGCAGUAAAUUAAUCUACUGCACCCUAAUUGCCACAUACGUGUAGAUGGUGAUUCUUUACCGUGCAGCAAAUUAGGCUGCUGUGCAAUAAAGCAUCUCAUAUAGAUGUGCC